Long non-coding RNA from Daphnia pulicaria, 497 nucleotides. RefSeq lists it as uncharacterized. The transcript is spliced from 3 exons. The record is from RefSeq and is a predicted model, not a curated record. NCBI's taxonomy places the organism in Eukaryota, Metazoa, Arthropoda, Branchiopoda, Diplostraca, Daphniidae.
CAUGUCGAAGAUCUUGUCUUUCUCCACGUGAUCGCUGCCGUGUCAUGAAGCAUCUGAGUAUGAGCUGCAGCCAGUUGGUGGAAGGUGUGAACAUGUUAGCUGUUGAAUCAGUUUGAGGCGUCUCAUGCAGAAACCAAAAAUGAUAAGGAUUCCAUGGUCAGUUUGAUGUUUGUGGUGUUGCUGUUUGGUGUGAAGUGGGUUUGCAGUUAUUUUCCACUUGAAAGAUGCGCUGAAAUGGAGCUUCGUCAUCCUUGCAGUUCAACAUCAUACUUCAAUGUGUUAUUUCUCUAUGUUUGUGUCCGUGCUGUGUUGAACUGUUGGGCAUAACAGUCAAUGUUGUCUUAUGGCUGUCAGACAUAUUUUGUCGGCUGCAUUUUGUCAACGUGUCGUCUCUUGCUACCUGUACUGGCGUUGAGGUAGUGCUUGAUGAAAAGUAUCAUUUAGUUUUUCAGUCGUUAUUGCAGCCUAAGCUGGUGAAAGAUCUUUUUGCAUCAAGU